RNAcentral lists this ribosomal RNA (497 nucleotides) under uncultured bacterium. Its description in RNAcentral is "partial 16S ribosomal RNA". It matches the Rfam family "Bacterial small subunit ribosomal RNA", at positions 28 to 507 of the family's 1533-position model. The record is from RNAcentral.
GACGAACGCUGGCGGCGUGCCUAAUACAUGCAAGUUGAGCGCUGAAGGUUGGUACUUGUACCAACUGGAUGAGCAGCGAACGGGUGAGUAACGCGUGGGGAAUCUGCCUUUGAGCGGGGGACAACAUUUGGAAACGAAUGCUAAUACCGCAUAAAAACUUUAAACACAAGUUUUAAGUUUGAAAGAUGCAAUUGCAUCACUCAAAGAUGAUCCCGCGUUGUAUUAGCUAGUUGGUGAGGUAAAGGCUCACUAAGGCGAUGAUACAUAGCCGACCUGAGAGGGUGAUCGGCCACAUUGGGACUGAGACACGGCACAAACUACUACGGGAGGCAGCAGUAGGGAAUCUUCGGCAAUGGACGAAAGUCUGACCGAGCAACGCCGCGUGAGUGAAGAAGGUUUUCGGAUCGUAAAACUCUGUUGGUAGAGAAGAACGUUGGUGAGAGUGGAAAGCUCAUCAAGUGACGGUAACUACCCAGAAAGGGACGGCUAACUACGUG